RNAcentral lists this non-coding RNA (25 nucleotides) under Cricetulus griseus (Chinese hamster). Lineage: Eukaryota; Metazoa; Chordata; Mammalia; Rodentia; Cricetidae. The record is from RNAcentral.
GUUUUGGACAUUCAUCAGUUUAUUG